This 253-nucleotide ribosomal RNA is filed under the name uncultured bacterium. Its description in RNAcentral is "partial 16S ribosomal RNA". It matches the Rfam family "Bacterial small subunit ribosomal RNA", at positions 524 to 776 of the family's 1533-position model. The record is from RNAcentral.
UACGUAGGGUGCGUGCGUUAAUCGGAAUUACUGGGCGUAAAGCGUGCGCAGGCGGUUUUGUAAGCCAGGUGUGAAAUCCCCGGGCUCAACCUGGGAAUGGCAUUUGGGACUGCAAGGCUGGAGUGCGGCAGAGGAGACUGGAAUUCCUGGUGUAGCAGUGAAAUGCGUAGAUAUCAGGAGGAACACCGAUGGCGAAGGCAGGUCUCUGGGCUGACACUGACGCUCAUGCACGAAAGCGUGGGGAGCAAACAGG